Molecule: ribosomal RNA, 150 nt
Filed under: Sphenodon punctatus (tuatara)
Lineage: Eukaryota; Metazoa; Chordata; Lepidosauria; Sphenodontia; Sphenodontidae
Description: 5.8S ribosomal RNA (ENSSPUG00000008010.1)
Rfam family: 5.8S ribosomal RNA
About the family: 5.8S ribosomal RNA (5.8S rRNA) is a component of the large subunit of the eukaryotic ribosome. It is transcribed by RNA polymerase I as part of the 45S precursor that also contains 18S and 28S rRNA.
Source: Rfam by way of RNAcentral
GACUCUGGUCAGCGGAUGACUUGCCUCAUGCAUCUGCUAAGAAGGCAUCUAGCUGCAGGAGUUAUUGUGAAUGGCAGGACACAUUGAUCACUGACAGUUUGAACGCACUUGUGGCACCAGGUUUAAUCUUGGGGCUAUGCCUGAGCGUUG